AUUGAACGCUGGCGGCAGGCCUAACACAUGCAAGUCGAACGAGUGGCGGACGGGUGAGUAAUGUCUGGGAAACUGCCUGAUGGAGGGGGAUAACUACUGGAAACGGUAGCUAAUACCGCAUACCAUCGGAUUUGCCCAGAUGGGAUUAGCUAAGAGGGGGGGUAAAGGCUCACCUAGGCGACGAUCCCUAGCGGGGCUGAGGGGAUGACCAGCCACACUGGAACUGAGACACGGUCCAGACUCCUACGGGAGGCAGCGGUGGGGAAUAUUGCACAAUGGGCGCAAGCCUGAUGCAGCCAUGCCGCGUGUAUGAAGAAGGCCUUCGGGUUGUAAAGUACUAUCAGCGGGGAGGCGUUACCCGCAGAAGAAGCACCGGCUAACUCCGUGCCAGCAGCCGCGGUAAUUC
RNAcentral lists this ribosomal RNA (406 nucleotides) under uncultured bacterium. RNAcentral's name for it is "partial 16S ribosomal RNA". It matches the Rfam family "Bacterial small subunit ribosomal RNA", at positions 29 to 526 of the family's 1533-position model. The record is from RNAcentral.